Long non-coding RNA from Polypterus senegalus (gray bichir), 398 nucleotides. RefSeq lists it as uncharacterized. NCBI's taxonomy places the organism in Eukaryota, Metazoa, Chordata, Cladistia, Polypteriformes, Polypteridae. The transcript has 3 exons. The record is from RefSeq and is a predicted model, not a curated record.
GGGCAUUUGACUCUGACCCUUCCGGUUCCCCAGAAUCCAUCUCACAACAAUAGGACAUUCUCUCUGUUUCCAUCCUGGGAAAUACAUUUCAUCUGCCGGGAUACAGAUUGACCAAACAUGAGAAAUUCUACCUGGAUCCGAUGACGUCACGUCCGGUUACGGGCCCAAGACGUCAUUUUUGGUUCAUUUUCUCAAGAUAUCACUUCCAGUUCCGGCCCUGAAGACGUCACUUCUGCCAACCUGACUUAAAAGCCACACAGCCUCCUGCAUUAAUCAGUUCUGUUUUGGACUUGAACCUGUACACUUCUGUACUAACAAUUCAUCAGUUUUUGCAGCCUUAUUCAAGUAUAUGGGCAGCUGCCCCAAACCUAUUCCUGUGUCAAGGCCUGUUAUUUUCA